CCUACGGGGAGCAGCAGUGAGGAAUAUUGGUCAAUGGACGCAAGUCUGAACCAGCCAUGCCGCGUGCAGGAAGACGGCUCUAUGAGUUGUAAACUGCUUUUGUACGAGGGUAAACGCAGAUACGCGUAUCUGUCUGAAAGUAUCGUACGAAUAAGGAUCGGCUAACUCCGUGCCAGCAGCCGCGGUAAUACGGAGGAUUCAAGCGUUAUCCGGAUUUAUUGGGUUUAAAGGGUGCGUAGGCGGUCGGAUAAGUUAGAGGGGAAAUCCCGAGGCUCAACUUCGGAAUUGCCUCUGAUACUGUUCGGCUAGAGAGUAUGUGCGGUAGGCGGAAUGUAUGGUGUAGCGGUGAAAUGCUUAGAGAUCAUACAGAACACCGAUUGCGAAGGCAGCUUACCAAGCUACUUCUGACGUUGAGGCACGAAAGCGUGGGGAGCAAACAGGAUUAGAUACCCGUGUAGUC
This 460-nucleotide ribosomal RNA is filed under the name uncultured bacterium. RNAcentral describes it as "partial 16S ribosomal RNA". It matches the Rfam family "Bacterial small subunit ribosomal RNA", at positions 338 to 795 of the family's 1533-position model. The record is from RNAcentral.